RNAcentral lists this ribosomal RNA (248 nucleotides) under uncultured bacterium. RNAcentral describes it as "partial 16S ribosomal RNA". It matches the Rfam family "Bacterial small subunit ribosomal RNA", at positions 85 to 334 of the family's 1533-position model. The record is from RNAcentral.
CCGAUGGCGACCGGCGCACGGGUGAGUAACACGUAUCCAACCUGCCGAUAACUCGGGGAUAGCCUUUCGAAAGAAAGAUUAAUACCCGAUGGCAUAAUUAGACCGCAUGGUCUUAUUAUUAAAGAAUUUCGGUUAUCGAUGGGGAUGCGUUCCAUUAGGCAGUUGGUGAGGUAACGGCUCACCAAACCUUCGAUGGAUAGGGGUUCUGAGAGGAAGGUCCCCCACAUUGGAACUGAGACACGGUCCAA